GAUGAAGAACGUAGCGAAAUGCGAUAAGUAAUGUGAAUUGCAGAAUUCAGUGAAUCAUCGAAUCUUUGAACGCACAUUGCGCCCCCUGGUAUUCCGGGGGGCAUGCCUGUUCGAGCGUCAUUUAAACCUUCAAGCUAAGCUUGGUGUUGGGUGACUGUCCGCUUCACGGCGGACUCGCCUCAAAAUUAUUGGCGGCCGGUACAUUGGCUUCGAGCGCAGCAGAAACGCGAACUCGGGCCCGUCGUAUUGGCUCCCAGAAGCUAUCUUCACAAUUUUGACCUCGGAUCAGGUAGGGAUACCCGCUGAACUUAAGCAUAUCAAUAAGCGGAGGA
RNAcentral lists this unclassified non-coding RNA (332 nucleotides) under soil metagenome. Its description in RNAcentral is "partial contains 5.8S ribosomal RNA, internal transcribed spacer 2, and large subunit ribosomal RNA". The stretch from base 1 to 120 matches the Rfam family "5.8S ribosomal RNA", at positions 35 to 154 of the family's 154-position model. The record is from RNAcentral.